UAAUUACUAAAACCAUAAGUUGUUUGACUGAAAUUGUAAAUAACAAUUUUUUUACAGCAGCCUCUUAAUAUAUAACAUCAGUGUGCCAAUGCCUAAAUAAAUCAGUCAAUAUAUGUACACUAAAGUAGGUCUUUUCCGAAUAAAUCAUUUGCGGACGUAAAUUGCAUGUAGUUGAAAUUGAGACGCACGUAGUGAAACGCACGUAGUUGAAAUUGAAGUAAAGAAAGUCUACAAUGUAAAAAAAUUCAAACGUAUUUUUGCAAAUGUGCUAUUGGAACAAAUGCAAGACGAGAACUGAAAUCUUUGUUUUUCAUUCUAUUUGGAAUGCAACUGACACCAAGAGUGAACACAAUCUUAGGUAAACAAGUAAGGCUGGCCGCUUACACAGCGCUUAACAAGAAUUCUGUGAAUUUCAUUUAAAGAAAGAAAAUUUUUUUAAACUAUGUAGUUGUAUUACUUGAAUAUAUUAUACAAUAUUUUA
This is a non-coding RNA of Hydra vulgaris (swiftwater hydra), 481 nucleotides long. The record is from RefSeq and is a predicted model, not a curated record. Lineage: Eukaryota; Metazoa; Cnidaria; Hydrozoa; Anthoathecata; Hydridae.